AUGGGACCGGAAGAGGAUUAUUCGUUUUUUUCCUGUAUUUCCAGUAUAUAAGGCAGGUGUUAAUGUGGAUUAUUCAGGUGGCUAGCUGACAUUUCGAGAUGAAGUUCGUAGCGUUGUUUGUUGCUGUACUGGCGAUAGUGUUUGCCGUUGUGAGCGGCAUGGGCAUCGGCGGCCAAACAGCGUUGUCGCACAAGGAGAAGGCUGGUUGCGGCGGCGGAUCCGGCGGCCCCCCACCACCACCUCCCACUAACAGUUCCGGUUAAUC
Molecule: long non-coding RNA, 265 nt
Organism: Cydia strobilella
Lineage: Eukaryota; Metazoa; Arthropoda; Insecta; Lepidoptera; Tortricidae
Exons: 3
Source: RefSeq, a predicted model, not a curated record